ACUACGGGAGGCAGCAGUGGGGGAUAUUGCACAAUGGGGGGAACCCUGAUGCAGCGACGCCGCGUGGGUGAAGAAGCGCCUCGGCGCGUAAAGCCCUGUCAGCAGGGAAGAAAAUGACGGUACCUGAAGAAGAAGCCCCGGCUAACUACGUGCCAGCAGCCGCGGUAAUACGUAGGGGGCAAGCGUUAUCCGGAUUUACGGGGUGUAAAGGGGGCGCAGACGGCGAUGCAAGCCAGGAGUGAAAGCCCGGGGCCCAACCCCGGGACUGCUCUGGGAACUGCGUGGCUGGAGUGCAGGAGGGGCAGGCGGAAUCGCUGGUGUAGCGGUGAAAUGCGUAGAUAUCAGGAGGAACACCGGUGGCGAAGGCGGCCUGCUGGACUGCAACUGACGUUGAGGCCCGAAAGCGUGGGGAGCAAACAGGAUUAGAUACCCCUGUAGUC
Molecule: ribosomal RNA, 440 nt
Filed under: uncultured bacterium
Lineage: Bacteria
Description: partial 16S ribosomal RNA
Rfam family: Bacterial small subunit ribosomal RNA
Source: RNAcentral